UACGUAGGGUGCGAGCGUUGUCCGAAAUUAUUGGGCGUAAAGAGCUUGUAGGCGGUUUGUCGCGUCUGCUGUGAAAAUCCGGGGCUCAACCCCGGACUUGCAGUGGGUACGGGCAGACUAGAGUGUGGUAGGGGAGACUGGAAUUCCUGGUGUAGCGGUGGAAUGCGCAGAUAUCAGGAGGAACACCGAUGGCGAAGGCAGGUCUCUGGGCCACUACUGACGCUGAGAAGCGAAAGCAUGGGGAGCGAACAGG
This 253-nucleotide ribosomal RNA is filed under the name uncultured bacterium. Its description in RNAcentral is "partial 16S ribosomal RNA". It matches the Rfam family "Bacterial small subunit ribosomal RNA", at positions 524 to 776 of the family's 1533-position model. The record is from RNAcentral.